AUUGAAAUCAUUCUCAUGGCUGGAACAGGAAGCUAUCGCAAGGUUGUGAAGGAGUUUAACAGGAAACAUAGUGUGCUUUACUGGAAAUCUGGAAACACAACAACAAAUCAAACACUGCGAUUCAUCUAAAGCGCCACAGCAAAACCAAGAACACAUCAGCAAAAGUAAUAACAGAAAAUCAAAAGCCAGCAAAUCAGAUAACACAGCAGCAAGUAAGACAAAACAACAGCAAAUCAAAAUCGCAGAAAAACAAAGAAACAGCGAUUAGGAGAGGCUGCUACCACAUCUGGCAGCUCUGCCAGGUGCUCGUGCCCACACGACGCUCUGGAAUGGAGGAAACCUUGCC
Molecule: long non-coding RNA, 346 nt
Organism: Ictalurus punctatus (channel catfish)
Lineage: Eukaryota; Metazoa; Chordata; Actinopteri; Siluriformes; Ictaluridae
Source: Ensembl